Molecule: ribosomal RNA, 363 nt
Filed under: uncultured eukaryote
Lineage: Eukaryota
Description: partial 18S ribosomal RNA
Rfam family: Eukaryotic small subunit ribosomal RNA
Source: RNAcentral
CAAUAGCGCAUACUAAUGUUGUUGCAGUUAAAAAGCUCGUAGUUGAACUUCUGGUAGGAGUGUCCCGGCCUUUUUGUUUUUACAAAUUGUAUGCUGUGUGACAUCUCUGGCCAUCCUUCUUCUUUGUUUAAAGAAGAUCUUUCACUGUAAAAAAAUUAGGGUGUUCAAAGCAAAAGUUUCUUUGGAAUAUAUUAGUAUGGGAUGAUAAGAUAGGCUCUAGAUGCUAUUUUGUUGGUUUGCACAUUUAGAGAAUGAUUAACAGGGACAGUUGGGGGUAUUCGUAUUUACAUGUCAGAGGUGAAAUUCUUGGAUUUUGGAAAGACGAACUACUGCGAAAGCAUUUACCAAGGAUGUUUUCAUUAA